This 577-nucleotide ribosomal RNA is filed under the name uncultured bacterium. Its description in RNAcentral is "bacterial SSU rRNA". It matches the Rfam family "Bacterial small subunit ribosomal RNA", at positions 334 to 902 of the family's 1533-position model. The record is from RNAcentral.
GCUUCCUACGGGAGGCAGCAGUGGGGAAUAUUGGACAAUGGGCGCAAGCCUGAUCCAGCCAUGCCGCGUGUGUGAAGAAGGCCUUCGGGUUGUAAAGCACUUUUGUUCGGGAAGAAAAGCUACCGGUUAAUACCCGGGAGUCAUGACGGUACCGAAAGAAUAAGCACCGGCUAACUUCGUGCCAGCAGCCGCGGUAAUACGAAGGGUGCAGGCGUUACUCGGAAUUACUGGGCGUAAAGCGUGCGUAGGUGGUGCGUUAAGUCUGUCGUGAAAGCCCCGGGCUCAACCUGGGAAUGGCGAUGGAUACUGGCGCGCUAGAGUGCGGUAGAGGAGAGUGGAAUUCCCGGUGUAGCAGUGAAAUGCGUAGAGAUCGGGAGGAACAUCAGUUGCGAAGGCGGCUCUCUGGACCAACACUGACACUGAGGCACGAAAGCGUGGGGAGCAAACAGGAUUAGAUACCCUGGUAGUCCACGCCCUAAACGAUGCGAACUGGACGUUGGGAGCAACUAGGCUCUCAGUGUCGAAGCUAACGCGUUAAGUUCGCCGCCUGGGGAGUACGGUCGCAAGACUGAAACUC